CCUACGGGAGGCAGCAGUGGGGAAUAUUGGGCAAUGGAGGCAACUCUGACCCAGCAACGCCGCGUGAAUGAUGAAGGUCUUCGGAUUGUAAAGUCCUGUGAUGGGGGAUGAACACAAUGACGGUACCCCAAUAGCAAGCCACGGCUAAAUACGUGCCUAGACGCGCGGUAAUACGUAGGUGGCAAGCGUUAUCCGGAAUGACUGGGCGUAAAGGGUGCGUAGGUGGGUUAGUAAGUUGGGGGGUGAAUUCGGGGGCUGAACCUCGGCGCUACCGCCAAAACUAUUAGACUAGAGUGCAGGAGGGGUAAGUGGAAUGCCUAGUGUAGCGGUGGAAUGCGUAGAUAUUAGGAAGAACACCAGGGGCGAAGGCGACUUACUGGCGUCUAACUGACGCUGAGGCACGAAGGCGUGGGGAGCGAACAGGAGUAGAUACCCUUGUAGUC
RNAcentral lists this ribosomal RNA (443 nucleotides) under uncultured bacterium. Its description in RNAcentral is "partial 16S ribosomal RNA". It matches the Rfam family "Bacterial small subunit ribosomal RNA", at positions 338 to 795 of the family's 1533-position model. The record is from RNAcentral.